GCUUGGCUUCUGUACCCAACAUCCUGUUCAGCCAGGAGCUGGAGAUCGAGCAGGCUUUGCAGUGUGUCCCCAAAUACCCCCCAGGUGACAAUACCUGGAAGGUUGCUUCUCAGUUUGCAGCCAAUAUCUUGGGCCUCUUGAUACCAUUUAGCAUCCUCUUUUGCUGCUACACUCAGAUACUAAAAAACCUCCAAAAAUGCAAAAACCGGAACAAGGUCAAGGCGAUCAAGAUGAUCUUCAUCAUUGUCAUUGUUUUCUUCCUUUUCUGGACUCCUUUCAACAUCGCGCUGUUCCUGGACUCUCUGCAGAGCCUGCACAUCAUCAAUGACUGCAAGGCGAGCUCCCAGAUAGCUCUGGCCCUGCAGCUGACAGAAACCAUCUCCUUCAUCCACUGCUGCCUGAACCCCAUCAUCUAUGCCUUCGCUGGCGUGACAUUCAAGGCCCAUCUUAAAGGACUCCUUCAGUCCUGCGGUCGUGUCCUCUCCAGCCCUGCCGGAGGUGCCGGGGCUGGACAGUCGAUUUCGGUGCCCACCCAGCUCUCUGGCUGGUCUGACAGUGCAGGGGUCAUGUGAGCCCGCCUGAGCCACCUUCUGCUGUUGCGAGGGGCUGGCCAAAGUUCUGCUGUGGUCCUGGAGGUCGUACCAUGUGUGCAUCAUCCCCUGGGAGGUGCAGUAGACCUGUGCCUCCCGUUGGGACAUGCUGUCACCUGCCAUGUAAGAACUUGUGACAUUGAUUUCCCAAGAGAAACGGUGCAUUUUUGAAAUGAUCAUACAUUGCCGCAGAAUAAUUUUUAAUUACGUUUUAGAGCUCCUUUAGUACACAUCAGCAAGCAGGCUGCUUAGUCUAGUAUCUAUUUGCUCCUCUGACAAAAGCGACGCUUCUGCCUCGCCCCCAAGUAUGCUGUGCCUUGUGGAAGCUGAAUCCCUACAUCCCUGGGACAAGCGUGUGACACCCCUCUGGAAAGGGGGAAGUGGACAGGCAUGGGAUUGCCUCACAUUGCAAAGAGGGAAUCACCUCAGACACUGCCACAGUUUCCCCUUUGCCUCAGAUCCCAGGUGAAAAACCCCCUCAGCUCAGCACCCUGUUUGUUGUGGGAUGGUCCCAGAGGCACAGCCCUGGAAUCCUUGGAACUGCUGCCACCCAGAGCAGUCUUUGACAGCAAUGCCUCCAAAAAUGACAAAGCAAUGGCUCCAGGUGGUCCCUACACUGGUCACACUUGGAGGCUCCCACACUUGAGAACGUCCUCAGAGCAGGUGGGGGCUCUGCAUCACCUCUGGAGCUGUGGGAGCUCCAACUCUGUGCCUGCAGCCCUCGCUGCGAAAUGUAACCAUCAUAAAAUUACUUGUAGCAAAGUAGGCUCCAACUCUUUUCCCAAAUGUCUUUAUUUUCUGCCAUUUUAAAAAUGCUUUCUUCUAGUAAACAUUAGCUACAUCUUUUUUUGUCUUGGUUCUUGAUAGUCUGCCUAAUGACUCACAAGCCUCUAUUAGGGUAAGGAAACUUUGAGUGCGCAUUUUGGAAUGGGUGUCACAUAAAUGCAUCUGAUGGAAUUUAGAGGCACCCUGAAACUCUUCAGCAAAAUAAGUCUUAUCUCCACUUUUCUGCUGAGGAAGCUUUGUUCUCCAAAUCCCAGUAAAUAUUCACAGGGAAAAAAAUAACAUUUAUAUUGAGGUAGUGAUACUGCAAACAUAUUUUUAAAGCUAAUCAAGAGGACACCUGAAAUCAGGGAAAACACAACCUGGAUAUUGUCAAAGAUUUUUAUUUUUUAAGAUAAUAAAAUUUUUAAAUAUUUUCCUAAUUCUACCUUUCCUUUUGAAAAUAUAAUUUCAUGUUUUUAUGCUUCCUAAAAAUUAAAAAAACCAAUUGAACUUGGUGCCAAAAUAUUCUUGCUAUUAACUAUAUGGUACAGAAAAUACUUCUUUCUUUUAUUAUAGAUAGCAUAAGUAA
Long non-coding RNA from Taeniopygia guttata (zebra finch), 1944 nucleotides. The record is from Ensembl. NCBI's taxonomy places the organism in Eukaryota, Metazoa, Chordata, Aves, Passeriformes, Estrildidae.